AACGAACGCUGGCGGCAGGCUUAACACAUGCAAGUCGAGCGCAUCCUUCGGGGUGAGCGGCGGACGGGUGAGUAACGCGUGGGAACGUGCCCUCUUCUACGGAAUAGCCUCGGGAAACUGAGAGUAAUGCCGUAUACGCCCGCAAGGGGAAAGAUUUAUCGGAGGAGGAUCGGCCCGCGUUGGAUUAGGUAGUUGGUGGGGUAACGGCCUACCAAGCCGACGAUCCAUAGCUGGUUUGAGAGGAUGAUCAGCCACACUGGGACUGAGACACGGCCCAGACUCCUACGGGAGGCAGCAGUGGGGAAUCUUGGACAAUGGGGGCAACCCUGAUCCAGCCAUGCCGCGUGAUCGAUGAAGGCCUUAGGGUUGUAAAGAUCUUUCAGCUGUGAAGAUAAUGACGGUACCAGCAGAAGAAGCCCGGCUAACUCCGUG
RNAcentral lists this ribosomal RNA (432 nucleotides) under uncultured bacterium. RNAcentral's name for it is "partial 16S ribosomal RNA". It matches the Rfam family "Bacterial small subunit ribosomal RNA", at positions 29 to 507 of the family's 1533-position model. The record is from RNAcentral.